RNAcentral lists this ribosomal RNA (459 nucleotides) under uncultured bacterium. Its description in RNAcentral is "partial 16S ribosomal RNA". It matches the Rfam family "Bacterial small subunit ribosomal RNA", at positions 338 to 795 of the family's 1533-position model. The record is from RNAcentral.
CCUACGGGCGGCAGCAGUGAGGAAUAUUGGUCAAUGGGCGAGAGCCUGAACCAGCCAAGUCGCGUGAGGGAAGACGGUCCUACGGAUUGUAAACCUCUUUUGUCAGGGAGCAAGGAGCGCCACGCGUGGUUCGGCGAGAGUACCUUAAGAAAAAGCAUCGGCUAACUCCGUGCCAGCAGCCGCGGUAAUACGGAGGAUGCGAGCGUUAUUCGGAUUCAUUGGGCUUAAAGGGAGCGUAGGCGGGCGUUCAAGUCAGCGGUAAAAUCGCGCGGCUCAACCGCGCCCCGCAGUUGAAACUGGACGCCUGGAGUUCACAACAGGCAGGCGGAAUUCGUGGUGUAGCGGUGAAAUGCAUAGAUAUCACGAGGAACCCCGAUUGCGAAGGCAGCCUGCCGGGGUGCGACUGACGCUGAGGCUCGAAGGUGCGGGUAUCAAACAGGAUUAGAUACCCGGGUAGUC